RNAcentral lists this ribosomal RNA (433 nucleotides) under uncultured bacterium. RNAcentral describes it as "partial 16S ribosomal RNA". It matches the Rfam family "Bacterial small subunit ribosomal RNA", at positions 29 to 507 of the family's 1533-position model. The record is from RNAcentral.
AACGAACGCUGGCGGCAUGCCUAACACAUGCAAGUCGAACGAGACCUUCGGGGCUAGUGGCGCACGGGUGCGUAACGCGUGGGAAUCUGCCCUUCGGUUGGGAAUAACUGAGAGAAAUUUCAGCUAAUACCUUAUAAUGUCUUCGGACCAAAGAUUUAUCGCCGAGGGAUGAGCCCGCGUAGGAUUAGGUAGUUGGUGGGGUAAUGGCCUACCAAGCCGACGAUCCUUAGCUGGUCAGAGAGGAUGAUCAGCCACACUGAGACUGAGACACGGCCCAGACUCCAACAGGAGGCAGCAGUGGGGAAUAUUGGAAAGUGGGCGAGAGGCUGAUCGAGCGAUGCCGCGUGAGUGAUAAAGGCCUUAGGGUUGUAAAGCUCUUUUCCACGGGAUGAUCAUGACAGUACCGGGAGAAUAAGCCCCGGCUAACUACGUG